CCAGUUCCAUCCCACCCACCCCAAGCAGGAUGUUUAGAUCAUUCUGAGGGUUUUAUGACUUAUGAUGACACCAGUGGACAUCCACAGCAGAACGUGAGCUGUUGUUGGCUCCCACAGGACCUCUGUGUUCUGCUGGUCUUCAGGAUGGAUGGCAAAGUGUGAUGGGUCAAUCAAGAGUCCUGUUCUUUCUGCCAUAUGUGACCCCACUAUUAUGGAUUCUAGCCAUCUGGACUCACCAUCAAUUGGGAACCACCUGUUCAAACAACCUAAGCCUGUGGGGGACAUUUCUCAUUCAAACCACAACAACAAACAAAACAGAAUAUUAUCUUUGAGCAGCAUGGAGGACUUCUUGGCAGUAAAUGUUAGGCUUCUCCGAACUCCACCUAGUGUUUGGCUGUGGGUCUGCAUCUGUUUCCACCAGUUGCUGGAUGAAGCCUCUCUGAUGACAGUUGGGGUGGCUGCCAGCUUCCUGAAGCUUCUUGCUGUAGGGGAAGAAACAAGACUGUGGGAUCUCUCUGUGUAGCCUUGGCUGCCCUGGAACUCUUUAUAUAGAUUAGGCUGGACUCAAACUCACAGAGAUUCACCAGCCCUGGCCUUGUUGCUAGGAUUAGAGGGUCUCUUACUGCAUCUGGAACUCACCAGUUCAGUAAGAUUGCCGGGCCAGGAAGCUUCAAGGAUUCCUGUGUAGCUGCCUUCCAGCACUGGGAUUACAGAGCCCAGCAAGAGGAAGACAGAUGCUGCAAGGAGGUCAGACUUCCAAAGAUGCCCUGAAGCCUUCAGGAAACACUCUCAACUGUCAGAGGCACACGGAUGCUGGAGG
Molecule: long non-coding RNA, 820 nt
Organism: Peromyscus californicus insignis
Lineage: Eukaryota; Metazoa; Chordata; Mammalia; Rodentia; Cricetidae
Exons: 8
Source: RefSeq, a predicted model, not a curated record